This 259-nucleotide unclassified non-coding RNA is filed under the name Hevea brasiliensis (rubber tree). The record is from RNAcentral. Lineage: Eukaryota; Viridiplantae; Streptophyta; Magnoliopsida; Malpighiales; Euphorbiaceae.
GUCAUAUACAAGCGUCCAAAACACACCGGACGCAUAUAGAGGAAGCACAACCGAAGGAUCAAUACUUCCUUUAAUGGCAGCCCAACCUAACAAAGCUCCCCAGUUGAAAGUCAAACCAAGAAAGGCUUGAGGCCUUUGGAGUUGAGGGCAGGGAGAGCGAGAGAGAGUAUAGAUAUACUGAUUUGAGAGAUGCAGCAUGAAGAUUCGGAUUUAUUACCCAAAAUGUAAACCUCUUCAUGAGGGGGUAUGUGAAGACCAG